RNAcentral lists this long non-coding RNA (1643 nucleotides) under Salmo salar (Atlantic salmon). Its description in RNAcentral is "lncRNA (ENSSSAG00000089874.1)". The record is from RNAcentral. Lineage: Eukaryota; Metazoa; Chordata; Actinopteri; Salmoniformes; Salmonidae.
CUCAGGGUAGUGAGAGCAACGGAGGCACGGAGGAGAGCCACAAUGGAUAAACUAACGGGCUACGGUAGGACCGCGCUUUGAUUUAUAAUCCGUAGAGAGAUACCAUCUCGUUUGCCAUCCACGAGAGACAAGUGAAAUAACGGUUAAGGGAUCUCACAACCUCGGAAAUAGACCACCAAUUCGACAUGGAUCCGUUGAGCAUCGACAGCGCCUUUUAGAAACCGGCUGCCUCCGCCUGCUUCAAAGGCGGAUUUGGGAUGAGAAGCGUUUAUCGUUUUCUGUACUGUCCUCUCUUCAUAGGUAAAUAAUCUGAUUUCAUUUCCUCGGUAAAAAGCUAUUCUAUAGGCUAGCCAUAUGCUUCUCAUCCUAUAUCGGAACCCUUACUGCUGCCUUCCACGCGGGUGCGCAGCCCUCCAUUGGAUGGCAAAAGAACCAGGACAAAUUUCCUCGCAUUGAAAAGUCCUGCUGGUGUUGACAACCUCCAGAGGAAGCCUCUUCCACCAGCCCUGAGCCCUUGGCCCUGAGUCCUGGGCCCUGAGUCCUGGGCCCUGAGUCCUGGGCCCUGGGCCCUGGCAGUCGGUCUAGAAGCACCAAUGGGAAUAGCAUAUCAGAUCCCAGGAUGUCAUGCAAGGCCUUCCUCAUUGGCAUCCUCUCCAGUCAAACACUGAGAAAUGAGGGCACUGAAGAAUCCCCCCUAAAGUUAAUGUUUGGAUAGAUUUACUGUAAGGACAAUGUUUGGAGUUAUUUGAAGACAUUGCUUGCAGGAGUUGCACAUGGAUUAUCUGCAGAUAUAUUGCACUUGGGUAAUCAAUGUUCCCCAGCUGAGAGUGAGUGUAUAGUUUCAACAUCAUUUUUAACAUUACAGCAAAAUGUAAAACAAUGUGUGUAUGAUGUUAAAUCAAAAGGGAUGUGAUCAACUUGUGUUCAUUCCUUAAUUUAAGGACGUGUGUGUGUGUGUGUGUGUGUGUGUGUGUGUGUGUGUGUGUGUGUGUGUGUGUGUGUGUGUGUGUGUGUGUGUGUGUGUGUGUGUGUGUGUGUGUGUGUGUGUGGUUUGGUCCCUAUUGUACUCUGUAGAGUACUCUGGAGUGUACUGGGCUUCAGAGAAGCACUACAGUGCCCUAAUGUGUGGGCUGUUUACAAGAGAAGCUCUCUGGAUGUCUAUCCUCUGUCAUGUGCAAUUAGUUACUUUAUGAAUAGAACUGACUACUCUAUGCAAAUAAAUGUGAAUGACUCACCCUCUGGCUGUAUUGCAAAUGUUGUUUAAUGUUUGACUGUCACAGUGAAAAGAAAGACAUUGUUUGGUGAAGAUUCCAUCCAUUUACUGUAUAUCCAUCAAAUGCUGCAUUUUUCCUAUUACAAAUAUUAUCUGCAUGUGUUCAUAGUGAUCAGGGAAUGUUCAACAUGAAAUGUGUUGGAUACAUUAUUGAAGCAGUCAGAUUAAUAGCCGUCUCAUUGCCUGAUUAUUACUAUUAUCCUUAUUCAGAGAGAUAGACAGUACAUACCUGCAGUAAAGAAAGGGACACAUACUUGUACACUAACAUCAUGCAAAGCAUGUUUUUGUAAUUGAGUUCUGACUUGUCAUGACUUCUGUGCUGUUGAAUUGAAUGUGUAUACAGAAUAAAUAAUUCAACAGAUGUCUAAAA